GACGAACGCUGGCGGCGUGCUUAACACAUGCAAGUCGAACGGAAAGGCCCUGCUUUUGUGGGGUGCUCGAGUGGCGAACGGGUGAGUAACACGUGAGUAACCUGCCCUUGACUUUGGGAUAACUUCAGGAAACUGGGGCUAAUACCGGAUAGGAGCUCCUGCUGCAUGGUGGGGGUUGGAAAGUUUCGGCGGUUGGGGAUGGACUCGCGGCUUAUCAGCUUGUUGGUGGGGUAGUGGCUUACCAAGGCUUUGACGGGUAGCCGGCCUGAGAGGGUGACCGGCCACAUUGGGACUGAGAUACGGCGCAGACUCCUACGGGAGGCAGCAGUGGGGAAUAUUGCACAAUGGGCGGAAGCCUGAUGCAGCAACGCCGCGUGCGGGAUGACGGCCUUCGGGUUGUAAACCGCUUUCGCCUGUGACGAAGCGUGAGUGGCGGUAAUGGGUAAAGAAGCACCGGCUAACUACGUG
RNAcentral lists this ribosomal RNA (468 nucleotides) under uncultured bacterium. RNAcentral's name for it is "partial 16S ribosomal RNA". It matches the Rfam family "Bacterial small subunit ribosomal RNA", at positions 28 to 507 of the family's 1533-position model. The record is from RNAcentral.